UUCCAAGGACAGAGAUAAGAUUUUUCCCCGUUCUGCUUCUCAAGCAGGUCAACCUGGAUCUAGUAAGACCAAAUAUUUAUGGACAUAUGUGAGUAUGCAAUUCCCUAAUGAAAAAUGUGUGAUAAUAUGUCAGAAUGAAAGAUUUUUGAGACAGUAAUGCUGACUGUAUGAGUUGGGCAUUUACUUAAGCUGCGUUGCUGGGAAGCAGAUACCUGGCCCUCCAUCAAAUAAAGCUUUCUCUAAUAAAAAAAUAAUGGGAAAAUGCUUUCCCAUUAUAAUGGGAAAAUAAAAAAAUAAUGGGAAAAGUUUCAAGAAGAUGGUAGAGGGAUUUAAAAUCAAAUUUUAAAUAACAUUACUGUGGGGGCGCCUGGGUGGCUCAGUCAGGUAAGCAUCCGACUUCGGCUCAGGUCAUGAUCUCACAGUCCGUGAGUUCGAGCCCCACGUCGGGCUCUGUGCUGACAGCUCGGAGCCUGGAGACUGCUUCAGAUUCUGUGUCUCCCUCUCUCUGACCCUCCCCCAUUCAUGCUCUGUCUCUGUCUCAAAAAUAAAUAAACAUUUUAAAAAAUAAAAAAAAUAACAUUACUGUGCAGAGACAUCUUGACACGUGAGGUCAAAGAAAAUUUGGUAAUAUUUUAAAAUUUGGACACUUCAUUAUCAGAGAUUUUAUCUCAUUUGAUUUUUUUUUACUACUGCAUUAAAAUAUUAUUUACCCUAGUAACUGAAUUGUGUGCCUCCUUAACUUUUGCACCCAAGAUCAGUGCUCACUCAUCUUGCUUUUUCCUUGUUAGGUCCCAAAGGCUUUCAGGGUUCUCUGGCCUCCAUUCUAAAACUAUUAGGAAGAAAGAGUUGGAGGUGGAACCAUGUGGAAUUUUAGGUAAGGGGGGCUUCUUGGUGUAAAUGAAGGUGCUCAGGGAAAAAAGAGAAUGAAGCCAUAUUAUUUCCCCAAGAAGAUAAUUAAGCUUAAAGGAAUUAAAGGCCUAGAAAUUACUAGUUUGUGGGUUAGUGCCACAUGCAUAAAAUGUUAAAAUUUGGUUUACUUGUGGAACCAUAGCAGUUCAGAUAUAUCUACGUAUGAUAUAAUCAUUAAAAUAAAAUAAUUUAUACUCCAGAUUUGGUGAUAUCUUUAAUAGAUUGAUUCUUGUGGAACUCAGUCUAUUCAGAAAGUAUGGAUCCAGGAUAUUUUCAACCCUUACAUUUGGUGGAUAAAGCUUUUAAAAUAACUUCUUGAAAUGAAUUUGGAAGUGUAUUCUGACAUUUAAUUUACUUUUCAAAGGUCAGGCAGAUACAUCUCUAUUUAUCUAAAGGCCCUGAAAACAGGAUCUGUUACUACAGAUGUUUGUUUUAAAAAGUAAAUAUUGAAGCUCUGCCCUUGAAAAUGACAUUAAAGGAGAGCGUUAGGCACAUCCUCAAAGAUAUGCAUUAGUGUCUAUCUGUUUCCUUGCUAUUAUCAACUAAUCUUACAGAACUCUUUUGAGAUCAAAAGUAUCCCUAUGCUAUGGUGGUUUAUGAAAGGAGCUUGGGAUUUCUCUCUGACAUUGCUGCUCUUUUGGUAAUGAAACAGCACAUGUUGAGUCAGCACCUGAGAGCACGAACACAAGGUGAAAAAGUGAAGAUUUAAUAUUUAGUACUUACUGUUUUAGUUCAGCAAUGAACUUGGAUGUUUUGGGUAGUUGAAAACACAUGAGAAGGUUCUGGUGGAAACAUGAGAACUGGAACAACAGAAUCUCCUACUAACUGGGAGCUUCCACUCACUUAACCUCUGAUCCUCAACCUCUUCACCUGUAAAUGGGGGAUCACAAUACUUCCUGAAUACAAAAGUUUUUAUUAAAAAGCGUAACUAAUAAACAUGCUGAAAUUGGUGCGUUACCACUGGAGUUAUCCUUGGGGCUUUGUCUACAAAUCUCCCCAUGUUUCCCACUCCACCUUUUCCCCCUGCCUCACACAAUGAAAUUAUAGGGAAGAAGUGUACUGCCUUGCUUGGACUGAAUGUUUGUGUCCCCCAGAAAUUCAUAUUGUGAAAUUGUAGGGGAUGAUUCUAGGAGGUGGGACUUGGGGAGGUGAUGAUUGGGAUUAGCGCCCUUAUAAAAGAGGUCUUGAGCUCCAUUGCUGCUUCUGCCAUGUGAGGUCACAGGGAAGAGGCCACGAAGAAAGGGGAUUCUCUCUAGACACGAAUCUGCUGGUGUCAUCAUCUGGACUUCCCAGCCUCAGAACUGUGAGGAACAAGUGUCCUCACAAGCCAUCCAGUGUAUACUGUACUGUGAUAACAGCCUGACUGGACUAAGACAAAUACUCCCCCAUCUUUUUUUUUUUUUUUGACAUUAUUCAGCAAAAAAUCGAAUCCAUGAGAAAACCAGCCAUUUAGCAGUGCAUGCGGCACUUCUGUCAGCAGCAGUUACACAAAUGUUACCUGCAUUGACAUCUGUAGCAGCCAAACUGCCUCAAGUUAAAACAAUUUGAAGCACAGCUCCCUGUGAUCACGCGUGGGUUUUGUUGCUGGUGCAUCGCAGUCCAACUUCUCCCUCUGCCCAGAGCACCUGCCUUCACUCCCUCACAGGUGUUGCUCCUCAGGGCACUCCCCAGUCCUCAUGCAAAUCUCAGUGUGUGUCCUGGGAGGACCCAAAGUAAAACACCUUAUGAAAUGAUUUCAAUUAAAGCAGCCUGGUGUCCAGUGGCAGAACAGCACUAGACCAGAACCGGCGGAGGGCAGAGUUUCGUGGGAUGGGUGUUGACUAGGGCCCUUGGUGGCCCACACACCCCAAGGAGUGUGAGGGAAUUGGGUCCGAGUGGGCGCUGGAAAUAUGUGGGAGUAUUUUCCCUUGUCACAAUAUGUCAAAUGGGAAGAACCAGUUUUUUUCUCACAAGAAAAAAAAACUGUUGCAGAAACAAAAGGUGUAAAAAGAAAUAAACUGUAAACCUUAUUUCCUGUACUAGCCUCUUGUUCAGGUUUCGUCUCCCAUGCACUCUUUGGUAUCUUCAGCUACUCGUGGGUUCUUUUUGUAUUUGUCUCAAAUUUAUAGAUGUGUGAAAGAUGGGCUGAAGGGGGUUUAUGCCAUCAUCCUGGAGCAAGAACUAGAGUGAUAGAGUUUUGAUCUCUGGGUAUUAAACGGGGUUUGGGCAAACUAUGAUGUGUAUUAAGCUCCUCUGGAAACAAUGGAUCUCAGAUGAAGUCACGACUUCCCUGGUAGGGUUCUCACUGUUCCAGUAUUUGUAAUACAGUUGUAGAGAAAAACAACCACCUGUUCCUUGGAACCUGGCCAAUCUUAGGUUCAUUGCUUACCAUUUCCUUUAUGCCUGCUCUUUCCAGAUAACAAUUGUACUGCAUUUAAACCUCAUCUCAGGCCCCCUUUGGGUAAAAUUCCAGAUAGAAAAGAGUCCUCAUUUAACAUCUGUCAUUCAACUCUAUGGAAAUGAGAGUAAUAGGGGUAAAAUCGGCAUUUUGGCAGUGUAAGUUGUUCAUUUUUGUCUCCCCUUCAGUUUGCGUUUAACUGGACAUCCAUGACUGAAUAAAAGUGUCUCUACCCAGCAUACAAGGAUACAGUGUGAUCCAUGCAUCCUCAUUCAAAAGCAGGUGGAUUGAGAAGCAGAGAAGCUGUGGGGCCAAGGGAGGUGCAGCAGCAGGAGCGGCAGUGCUGGGACCAGCAGAGGAGGCAGAGGAGGUGGAAAGCACAGGUGGUAAGUGAAGUCCUCCCGACUGCUCAGGUGCAGCUGGAGGGGCCUGUUGCUCUUCAGCAGCACCUGGGUUUCCCGGAAGAGAACUCUGCGACUGGGACAGAGGACGGAAAGGGAAGAAGGCAGAGAAAGAGAAUUGAAGGAAGAAGUGUUCUGCUGUCUGCCUUGGUAUUUCAGGAAGAGGUCUGGGACUUCUGAGACUCCUCCCACCCACCCUAGAGUCCUUGGGCACACCCAAAGACCCAAGGGCUAAGCCCACAAUUCCCUUGCCGCUGUGCUACCAGAUUUUUUUGUUUUUGUUUUUAAUGUCAGCUCUAUUUGGUGUGCUCCUAAAUUUCGUGGAGAAUCAGCUCCUUUAGGAGAAAGAAAAUAUUGUGUUAUGUCAUGAGAUCUUCUGUGAAACAAAAAUAAAGUUUCUGAUUGCCAAU
This 4097-nucleotide long non-coding RNA is filed under the name Lynx pardinus (Iberian lynx). Lineage: Eukaryota; Metazoa; Chordata; Mammalia; Carnivora; Felidae. The record is from RNAcentral.